Molecule: unclassified non-coding RNA, 341 nt
Filed under: Hevea brasiliensis (rubber tree)
Lineage: Eukaryota; Viridiplantae; Streptophyta; Magnoliopsida; Malpighiales; Euphorbiaceae
Source: RNAcentral
UCUGGUUUCCACAUGCAAACAGUUGCUGGACCAUAGGUUUCCGUAAGACCAUAUCCAUGAGUAACAUUAAAACCGAGCUCUUUCAUUUUAAGUAGAACUUGAGGAGGAGGUGGGGCACCACCUGUCAUAACGUUAACUGUCCUUGAGAGUGGUCUUUGGACACUUCGUGGCGCAUUUAUUAUCAUGUUCAAAACCGUAGGUGCACCAGCCAUGUUAGUCACUUGGUGUUGAAUUAUGCUGUCAAAAAUCCCUUUUUCGGUUACAUUUCUCAGGCAAAUAUUUGUACCACCCUGUGCUGCCACAGUCCAAGUAAGACACCAUCCAUUGCAAUGAAACAUGGG